This 244-nucleotide long non-coding RNA is filed under the name Hordeum vulgare. RNAcentral's name for it is "long non-coding RNA (HVUL_LNC000948)". The record is from RNAcentral. Lineage: Eukaryota; Viridiplantae; Streptophyta; Magnoliopsida; Poales; Poaceae.
AGAAUGGGUUGAUCCCUUAAAAUAUGACAUCCGCCUCUUCUUGUAAUGCAUCGGUCCUCUUUCCAGAAAACAUGAACGCGAAAGGGUGGCUAUAACGCGGCAAUUAGAAGGGGGACAAGGUUUCGAGUCCUAUCUUGACUAAAGGUGGUCUUCGCAUGGCAAUGUAGUCUUCGUGACUCAGUUGUGGACUUGACGAUGACCUUUGUCAUGCUGUCUUGAUCCGUUCUGAUCCUCUAUCUCCAAA